Molecule: long non-coding RNA, 4022 nt
Filed under: Homo sapiens (human)
Lineage: Eukaryota; Metazoa; Chordata; Mammalia; Primates; Hominidae
Description: HSALNT0312485
Source: RNAcentral
AAUGAAGAGACAAGGUCUUGCUAUGUUGCUCAGGUUGGUCUUGAAUUCCUGGCCUCAAGGGAUCCUCCUCCAUUGGCCUCCCAAAGUGCUGGGAUUUGCCCAGCCCCUAACUGUUGUUUUGUUAAGUUGCAUUUCUCAAGAUUGGGCAGAGUAGCUUCCUAGACUUGGUGAUUUAAUUUUACUUUUCUUGUCUUGUUAUUUCUCUGCAUUCAAUGUUACCUUAAUUGUAAAAUAAAAAUUACCAAGACAUUGCUGAAUAUAGUUGUUGAUUAGUGUUCCCUUGAUAGUAGUCCUGCAUUUUUACUUUCAGCUACUGCUUAAUCACAUUCAUUUGCAAAAUUGGAAAAUUUUUACUUUGGCUAAUUACCAUAGGUUUAGAACUUUCUGGUCUUCAGCUCCAGAAAUGUAUCGCUGUGUUGAGAUCAUGUUUUAUUUCAUCCAUGUUUAUUUGAAUACUGCCCCUCUGAAAAGCUGACUGUUUUUGGAGCUUUUAUACACAAGUAUGAGUGAGGAAAUUACUUUAGGUGUAGAAUAAAAUUGUGUAGAAAUAAUUAUCUUUGAAAAAAUUUGGUAUUCAGGAUAUUGAAUUGGAAGUGUUGAAGAAGCAGCUGUUUUGUGUGUAAUACGUUUCUCUUGUUUGAGAAUUUACCAGUUUUUUGCAGUUGUAGCUUUGAACUAUCCAUUCCCCCCUUAAAUUUAGAUACCCUGACAACCAAAAAUCUCUUGAAUUGUCAUGAAGUACUUUAGUAGAAGUUUUAUGGAAAAACACAACAUAGCUAUGAUCUUUGCUGGAAGCUUCAAAAAGGCAUCAUCGUGUGAUGCUUUUUAGGUAGAAAAACUCCCAGAAAUAAGAUAAGGUACCUACACUGGGCAAAGCCCAAGCCUCUUACUCAUGUUUCCUGGUAAUCCACAGCAGUGGUUUUGCUCCUUUCAUGACAUUGUUUUUGUUGUAGUGUUUGUCUUUCAUAAAAAUUCUCCAUAAAAAUAUAUAAAAAUUACCUGUCUUCCAAAUCAAACUUUUAUCAAACCUUCCAAGCUGAAAGCUGGUACAAUUUAAGAUCAUUUUACCCAGGAACAGAGUAAUAAUUUAUUUUGUGUUUACUGUUUCAUUGGACUUACUGAUUUAUUGGUGGUGACUUGAUCUUAUGUGUACUUGGUGACCUUAAAGUAAAUUACCUGGGUAGUUGUGGUCAUUUGACAAGUUUUUAUUGAGCACACAGCCAUUUGCGCUCUUGGUGUACAGUGGUAUAAAGACAGACCAGGUCCCUGUUCUUACGGAGCUUAAAAUACUAUGGAAAGGAAGAGAAAAUAAACUAACAGAAAAAUAACAAUUUCAGCUGGCGACAAGUGCUACGAAGAAUUUAGAGAAGGAUACAAACUUUUUCAACGGUCGCAUACAUAGAAGUGCACAAAUCGUAAGUAUAAGGAUUUGAUAAAGUUUUGCAGAAUGAGCAUAUCUUUGCCACUAGCACCCAGAUUGAUUUUUUUUUUUUUUUUGAGACAGGUAUCUGGCUCUGUUGCCCAGGCUAGAGUGUGGUGGUGUAAUCACAGCUCACUGUAGCCCCUACUUUGAGGCCCAGGUGAUACUCUCACCUCAGCCUCCUGAGUAGUUGGGACCAUAGACAUGUGCCAUCAUGCCUGGCACAUUUUUAAGGGCUUUUUUUUUUUCUUUUUGUGAGACACGGUCUCCCUAUGUUGCCUAGGCUAGUGUCUUAUUUCUGGGCUCAAGCGAUCCUCCCGCCUCAGCCUCCCAGAGAGUUGGUAUUAUAGGCAUGAGCCACUGUGCUGGCUUGCACCUAGAUUCUUAAAGAGAACAUUACUAGAACAUUACCGGAAGCCCCUUGUGCACUGUCCCCUGUGGGCCACUUCUCCCACCCCAUUCCUGUCUUUUAAUACUAGAGAUCAGUUGUGCUUGUUUUUGAAAUUUAUGUGAGUGGAGUAUACUAUGUAUACAGUACACAGUAAAUACUGUAUGUACCACUGCCUAUAUACAGUAUACUCCACAGUGAGUGAAACAAGCCAGACUCAGAAGCAUACAUACUGUAUGUACCACUUUGCUUAGUAGCCACAGUGUAUGCACCAUGGUACAUGCAUAUACUUCUGAAUCUGGCUUGUUUCACUCAUGGUUAGGUGUGCAGGAUUCAUCCAUGUUGUUGUGUGCAGUUCUUGCUUAUUUUACCAGUCUGUCUUAUCCUGAGAAUAUCUUUGACAUUCAACUCUGCAUGCAGACCCUUCCUUACACGUUCUAGAGAGAGGACCUGUCUUCACCCUGUGUUUAUUACCCACAUACUUGAACAGCUGUUUCCUCCAGGCAUCAUUAUGCAAAAGGAAUGAAACCCGGUGUGUGCAGCUUUUUUAGAGGACGUAAAAGGAGUCAGCUCUUGCCUCUCAUCAAUAGUAUUGUUUAUCAGUCAUUUCUCUUUUGAGGCAUUGGUUGAAUAAAUGGGAAAAUUCCUGCUUUCAAGGAACUUAGCAGACUUGUUGACAGAUAAGACCAUAAGAAGAAAGCCAGUGAAGUACCCAGUGAUGUGAACGCCAUGGUAUGAGCAAGUACAUAAUAGAGACCACAAGUGCUUUUUAGAAGUUAGAGAUAGUCAUUCUCUGGGGCUUCCUCAGGAAAAUCCUCGCUGAAUCUGGGAUCUAAACUGGGCCUUAUGAUUCUUGGAUAUAAGUUCCCUACUCCCCGCCCCACACCCCCUCUAAAAAAAAAGUACUAGAAGUUACACACAGAACUGUAGCCUUGGAGGCUGUAGGCAGUGCAUUUAAAGUACUUCUGGAGUGGUUUUGAGCUUCAGAGCAUUGACACACUUCCCUAAAUAACUGUGACAAUUCUUUCUAUUUGCUGUUGCCCAUCGGUGAUUUCAGUGGCCAGUAGUCAUACUGGAAAGUCUGAUAAUAAAGCAGGGGAUCAGUCAUGUGGUACCAAACCAGUUGUGGGGAAUGUUAGAUGUGUUAAGAUGUGAUUAGCAACGACAUUCCUGUUUGUAAACUGGCAUCUAUGGCGGUUUAAAAAUGGUGGCAAAACCAUUUUGAGUAUUGUUGGAAAUGUUAUCUGUUCUGCCGUGUUAAUAUACCUAUAAGUUGGUAGUUGCAUCUUGUACCCUUGAUAGUCAUACUUUGUACAUUGUGUAUGCCACUCUUCUGUUGAGUAAUUUGGAUUAAUUACUUUGGAGAUUGAAGUCUUGACUCAUUCACUUCACUCAUUUAUUUAGCUGUAUUUUCAGUUCCAUGCAAUGAGUGACACAGACUGUGCUGCCAAAAAGGAAUUCUCAGUAAGGGCAAUGCACAUAAAUUACUGUGUUACUCAGAAAUCAUGAAUAGUUGAGAUCACAAGGAAAUCUACUUAAAUUGUCCUGUGGUUGGGAAAAGAAACUAGUGGAAGGAAUAUGUUAAAAAAGCAUCUUUCUUAAAAUGUAUUCAAAAUAUUUUUCUCUACAAUUUAAGAGCAUUAGCAAAUACAACCUAGGAUGAAACUUUAACAGCCUUUGAGAGGGACAAGAAAUGAAAUUAAGGGUGAUAUAUGAUGCCAGUAUCAUCGGUGUAUUGGGUCUCAUAAUACAUACAAUACAUGGUAGUUAGUCAUAGGGAGAAAACAAACCUGGUGGCUGCUUUCUAAGAACAAAUCAGAUUUCUUGUGUAGCUAUGUGGUUUAACUGUUCUUGCCCUUCUUUUACAAAACUAAACAGAGUGCUGGUUCUCAAACUUUAGCAUGUUAUCAGAAUCACUUGGAAGAAGACUUCUUCAACACAUUGCUGAGUCCCAUUCCCAGAGGUUCAGAAAAUUAGAUGUUGACAUUUUCAAAGUGAACUUAAGAGAAGAUAAUUUCAAGAAUUAACAUUCUUGAAAUGACAAAAUUACAGAGAUAAGAGAACACAUUAGUGGUUGCCAGGAGUUAGGACUAGUGGCAGGAGGGAGGGAGAUGGAUGUAACUGUAAAAGGGUAGCAAGAGGAAGAUCUUUGUGGUGAUGAAGAGCCACCUCCUAGAUAAUCUUCCUCUUCAGCUGGUACUGUUUUAUAAAUGA